Molecule: unclassified non-coding RNA, 255 nt
Filed under: uncultured fungus
Lineage: Eukaryota; Fungi
Description: sequence contains ITS1, 5.8S rRNA gene
Rfam family: 5.8S ribosomal RNA (bases 207-255)
Source: RNAcentral
UUUCCGUAGGUGAACCUGCGGAAGGAUCAUUAUCGAAUGUGAAUGUUGGAUCGACUGUUGCUGGCUCAGUUUUGACUACUGAAGCAUGUGCACGUCUACCAUUUUAUCUACACACCUGUGCACCUACUGUAGGUCCUUGAAAGAGGAUGCUAUGUAUUUUGAUAACCUUUACAUGUAUGGAAUGGGGAUAUAUAUUGGAUAUAUACAACUUUCAGCAACGGAUCUCUUGGCUCUCGCAUCGAUGAAGAACGCAGC